AACCUCCGCAAUGUGAGAAAUCGCGACGGGGGGAUCCCAAGUGCCAUUCUUAACGGGAUGGCUUUUCAUUAGUGUAAAGAGCUUUUGGAAUAAGGGCUGGGCAAGACCGGUGCCAGCCGCCGCGGUAACACCGGCAGCUCUAGUGGUAGCAGUUUUUAUUGGGCCUAAAGCGUCCGUAGCCGGUUUAAUAAGUCUCUGGUGAAAUCCUGUAGCUUAACUGUGGGAAUUGCUGGAGAUACUAUUAGACUUGAGACCGGGAGAGGUUAGAGGUACUCCCAGGGUAGAGGUGAAAUUCUGUAAUCCUGGGAGGACCGCCUGUUGCGAAGGCGUCUAACUGGAACGGUUCUGACGGUGAGGGACGAAAGUUAGGGGCGCGAACCGGAUUAGAUACCCGGGUAGUCCUAACUGUAAACGAUGCGGACUUGGUGUUGGGGUGGCUUUGAGCUGCUUCAGUGCCGAAGGGAAGCUGUUAAGUCCGCCGCCUGGAAGUACGGUCGCAAGACUGAAACUUAAAGGAAUU
Molecule: ribosomal RNA, 520 nt
Filed under: uncultured bacterium
Lineage: Bacteria
Description: bacterial SSU rRNA
Rfam family: Archaeal small subunit ribosomal RNA
Source: RNAcentral